AUCAAUACACUGAUUUGUCCUACUGUAAACAUGGUAAAAUGCCUGUUUCUGAUUUUAAUUCUGACCCCAGGUGUGAUGACUGCAGACCAGAUAAGGCCAAAUCAAGAAACUAGUGUCAUAAAGGAAGAUGAGACUGUGGCCCUCAGCUGCUCAUAUGAUACAAGUAGCAGAUAUGUUACACUUUAUUGGUACAGACAGUAUCCUAAUGGAGAACCUCAGUAUUUAAUGUGGAAAGAGGCUCGGGGUUGGAGUAGCACUGGAACCCCUGCUGAUCGUCGCUUUCAGUCGACUACAUCAGAAACAUCCACUAAACUCACUAUUACUGGAGUAACUCUGUCAGAUUCAGCUCUCUAUUAUUGUGCUCUAAGAGUUGGAGCCCAGUGA
Carassius auratus (goldfish) is the source of this 384-nucleotide non-coding RNA. NCBI's taxonomy places the organism in Eukaryota, Metazoa, Chordata, Actinopteri, Cypriniformes, Cyprinidae. The record is from the annotation of a RefSeq genome assembly.